Non-coding RNA from Oncorhynchus mykiss (rainbow trout), 2061 nucleotides. NCBI's taxonomy places the organism in Eukaryota, Metazoa, Chordata, Actinopteri, Salmoniformes, Salmonidae. The record is from RefSeq and is a predicted model, not a curated record.
GAAGCCGGAGGAGGCUCCACGAUCUUUCAGGGUGAAGGAAGAGGGGCUGGUCCAGGCUAAUGGCAGCAGGAGAGGAGUUACAACUGGCACGAGAGGAGGAGAUGGAGGAGGAUGAAAUCGUCUCACCUGGCUCCCUAUCAGAGGUUUUCAAAUUCUAAAACCUGAGCUUCCAGACCUGAGCUUCCAGACAGAUGAGUCAACGAUGUGUCAACGUCAGAGAACCCCCACCACUUCUGGAUCCAGAUUCUGGGGCUGGACAAACUUAUUGCCGAGAUGAGCUGCUUCUACAGCAAAGGAACCCGGCAGAGAAACACAAUAUGUUUCUAUAGUGUUGAACUUUAGUGUUGAGCCCUAUGUGUGACGGCUCCAGGAGCAGCGAGUGGAGAUCUUCAUGGUGGGGGACAUUGCGGCUGCUCCGUACCCGGACUAUAGCACCUGGAACAGGGCGAGGCUCCUGGGGGUGAUGGGCUCUGGCUUGGUGGACCUCCACUAUGUCGACUUUGGAGACAAUAUUGAACAACCCAGGGACAGUCUACAAAGUAUGAGGAGUUACUUCCUCAGCCUACCAUUCCAGGUCAUCGAGUGCAGCUUAGCUGGAGUCAACCCAGCAGGCCGGUGUGGAGAGAAGAAGUCCUGGAUGACUUUGACCGCCUGACAUAUGUUGCCUAGUAGAGACCCCUGCUGGCCAAACUGUGCAGCUACACCCACUCUGGCUCAGUGUACUGUACAGCUCUACAACGCAGAGGGCAAGAUCAGUACUAACCUGGACUGGGGUGGGAAAUGGCACUGUAUGUCUCGCCUAUCUCUCUCUCUCUCUCUGGAAGAUGCCUUGUCAUUUGUCUCUUAUCGUGAUCUCCCCCUUUGUGUGUGACUGGUCUCUCGUUCUCUCCCUGUCGGAUUGUGGAUCUAGGAGAGGAGCUGGUGAGUCUUGGCCAUGCUGUGCCUAGCCAGGAUAAUUGGAACGGUAAGGGCGACAGGGACGACCCCGGAUCACCACAGAGGAUGUUGGUAAGAGCACAAGGCAGAGGAGAGGGAAAAUAAAUUAGAGCGAUUUAGAGAUGCAAAGUAUGUAACUAUAUCCGGGUUUCCGUUAGCUGGUAAUAGACGGCUUUUGAAUUAUAUAUUUUGUUUGUUGAAAAAACAACAAAUAAAAUUAGGUUUGUGCAGAUUUAUACAAUAUUACGACGUUCAGAAUGAGACUGAUAUGAGGUAAUAAUAAUUAAUGGAUGACUAAUGCGAUAACGAUAUGUUCUGAUAUUCUUGAGUUUAUUUUGGGAAACGGUAACUCAUUAAACAAACUUUUUCUGUGGCGCCCCAAGAUUGCUAAGGAGUUAAUUGUUACAUGAUUAAUUUAACCAUCGUAUUAAUUAAACAUAGUUAAUUGAUUUGAUAAAAUAAUCGCCAUCACAUUAAUGAUAUUCACAUUAUGUACAAAAUAAGUUGCAGAUAACGCGAAAAAACAUACACAAUAGCACAUUUGGUUACAGGAUCGUAAAACGGCAGCCAUCUCAAUCGGCGCCAAAAUCAGACCAUAUACGUGGAGGCAAUUAUUUUAUAUAAACUUUCUUUCAUUUUCCAGUAGCCAAACUCACAAUCCUAGUCAUAUUAGCAACCCAUGCGAGUUACUGAAUAUUAGGUCUCCCCUCUUUCAAAUUUCUGAAAGGACAUUUUCAUCUUGGUCACAUGAUAUCCGUCACAUUAAACCGCUCACAUGAACGGUGUGCUUUUGAAAGUGGUAUUCUCCUGCUAAUUGAAUUAUUGUGCGCGUUGCUGCCCUUAUAAUGUCAUGAAAUAAUACACUGAACAAGAAUAUAAACACAACAUGCAACUAUUUCUAAUAUUUUUAUGAGUUACAGUUCAUAUAAGGAAAUCCGUCGGUUGAAAUAUAUUCAUUAGCCCCUAGUCUAUGGAUUUCAUAUUAAUACAGAUAUGCUUCUGUUGGCCACAGAUACCUUAAAAAAAGGUUGGGGCGUGGAUCAGAAAACCAGUCAGUAUCUGGUGUGACCACCAUUUGCCUCAUGCAGCGCGACACAUCUCCUUCGCAUAGAGUUGAUCAGGCUG